Molecule: long non-coding RNA, 383 nt
Filed under: Rattus norvegicus (Norway rat)
Lineage: Eukaryota; Metazoa; Chordata; Mammalia; Rodentia; Muridae
Description: long non-coding RNA NONRATT029141
Source: RNAcentral
CUAUGUUGAAAGAAGGGUGGGUCUGGGAGGUGGGCAUGAAGGUUGGGGGCAUCUGCCUCACCCUCUCGAACUCAUCAUUUGCAGAAAGAACUGGGCUCCACAGAGGACAUCUACCUAGCCUCCCGCAAGGUUAAAGAGCUGUCCGUCAUCGAUGGCCGGAGGGCCCAGAAUUGUAUCAUUCUUCUCUCCAAGUUGAAGCUUUCUAAUGAGGAGAUACGACGGGCCAUCUUGAGGAUGGAUGAACAGGAAGACCUCGCUAAGGACAUGCUGGAGCAGCUCCUCAAGUUCAUCCCGGAGAAGAGCGACGUUGACCUCCUGGAAGAGCACAAGCAUGAGAUUGAGCGGAUGGCACGUGCAGACCGCUUCCUCUAUGAAAUGAGCAG